Rhodamnia argentea is the source of this 2162-nucleotide RNA transcript. It is a transcript of the gene named exosome complex component RRP45A-like, with no coding region annotated. The transcript has 11 exons. The record is from RefSeq and is a predicted model, not a curated record. NCBI's taxonomy places the organism in Eukaryota, Viridiplantae, Streptophyta, Magnoliopsida, Myrtales, Myrtaceae.
GACUUUCUUUUCGCCAAUCUGCUUCCUGUUUGAAAAUCUGAAAGUCCCUCUCCUGUUAUCCCUCGGCCCUCCAGCAUCAACCGCCUACAGCCGUCCCAAGCUCGACGGUCACAACCCUCAUCUCGGCCGCCGCCGCCCCGGCCCCGGCCCCCGCCCAAGGUCAGCAUCGACCGAAACUCAAGGUUGCUGUCGAGUAGCUCAGACCACAGGCGCUUCCGCCGUGCCGUCGUCGUCUGUGCCGCCCCCCUUAGCGCUCGCACCCCCACGCUCGGACUCUGGCAGUGCUCGCCUCAGUCCCCGCCCGGUCCACCCCGUCGGCAUCCUCUUCUGGUGGCCCUAAUUUAUGCUCGUGAAGCAUGGAGCAGAGACUGGCGAAUACAUGGAGAAUGACCGUUAACGAGAAGAAAUUCAUAGAAAGCGCUUUGCUUUCUGGUCUGAGAGUCGAUGGUCGGAACGUCUACGACUAUCGCAAGCUAAGCAUUAACUUUGGCAAAGAAGAUGGCUCGGCAGAGGUGCAUCUGGGUCAGACGCGUGUAAUGGGAUUUGUGACUUCUCAACUAGUUCAACCAUAUAGAGAUAGGCCUAACGAAGGGUCCCUUUCAAUAUUUACCGAGUUCUCUCCGAUGGCCGAUCCCUCGUUUGAACCUGGUCGUCCUGGGGAGUUCGCAGUUGAGUUAGGCAGGGUGAUAGACCGUGGUUUAAGGGAAAGCAGGGCCGUGGAUACAGAAUCUCUUUGCAUUCUUGCUGGGAAGUUGGUAUGGGCCAUCCGUAUUGAUAUCCAUAUCUUAGAUAAUGGAGGUAAUCUGGUCGAUGCUGCUAAUGUUGCUGCUUUGGCUGCUCUGUUAACAUUCCGUCGGCCUGAAUGCUCAUUAGGUGGAGAAAAUGGUCAAGAAGUAAUAGUUCAUCCACCAGAGGCUAGGGAGCCACUACCUCUUAUAAUUCAUCAUUUACCUAUAGCAGUCACCUUCGCAUUUUUCAGUGACGAAAGCACUCUGGUGGUAGAUCCUACCCACCAGGAGGAAGCAGUUAUGGCUGGUAGAAUGACAGCUACUCUGAAUACAAAUGGUGAUAUUUGUGCUAUCCAGAAAGCGGGAGGAGAAGGUGUUCCUCAGAGUGUAAUAAUGCAUUGCCUACGGAUUGCUGCUACAAAAGCUGCUGAUAUAACAGUGAAGAUACGAGACACUGUAGAGGCAUACAAUACUGAAAGAGCUCUGCGGAAGAUAAAGCGCCACUCAGCUCCUGUUGCCUUGGAUGUUAGUGGGACUGGUCCUAAUGUAAGGAAAAAUCAGGUCAAGUCUCAGGAUCAGAGGAAAGUCAGUGGGUCAGUGGGAUCUCAAGUGGACAAAUUGAAGCCAAGUAAUGAGAGAAACGAUUCUGAUCAGAGUAAUGACAUCGAAGGUAAAAUGGUCACAAAAUCAUUUGAACAAGGAGGAACUAACAGUAAAGAUGGCAAGCCUAGGAGUUUCAUUGGAGGUCCAUCAAGUUGGGAUCCUUACUCGAGGGGUGUUGACUCGGAUUUCCUGAAAUUAUCUCUUGCUUCACGUGAAACUUCAAAACCCUCUAAAAAGCAAAGAGACUUGCAAAAUGAGAAACCACCCCAACAGGGGGCCAGUCCAAAGGGAUCACCGGAAGAUAUAAAAGCAACAGCUCCAUCAACUGAGACAUCUAACAUUUCCACUCAAACCCAUGGGGAGAAAACGCUGAAGGAUGCUGUUAAGCCUAGACAUAAGAGGAAAAAGAAAGCACCCUCUGCAGUGGAUGGAACUUAGACACAUCAGCAGGUCAGAACAUUUACUGAAUAGUUUGUCUCUCAAAUUUGGAAUUGAAUCCUCCAUGAGGUCUGUUAAAUUAUAUUUUUGGAAACCCAGCUUUCCAGAGUGUUAGGUGAAAGUUGAGCUAGAAAGCAGAUCUGUGCUAUGAACAAGGAGGAGUACUAACUCUGAACGGGUUGUUGGCGGGCCUAAUUGAGGGCACAACAUAGUUAGAAGUUUAGCAUAGGUGAUCGUUUGUUUGAUAAUGUCUUGGUUUUGUUAUGUUUCUCAAUUCCUAGUUUAGUUGGACUUUGGGUGCCUACCUCUCAUAGGCACCUUAUAGCAGAAGCCCUCAGUGUAACAUAUAUGAAAUCUGAUAUUUAUUCCAUACAACCAUCAAAGUUAUUUCAA